CAGCAGCCGCGGGAAUACGAAGGGUGCAAGCGUUAAUCGGAAUUACUGGGCGUAAAGCGUGCGUAGGCGGUGAGUUAAGUCUGCUGUGAAAUCCCCGGGCUCAACCUGGGAAUGGCAGUGGAUACUGGCUCGCUAGAGUGUGUCAGAGGAUGGUGGAAUUCCCGGUGUAGCGGUGAAAUGCGUAGAGAUCGGGAGGAACGUCAGUGGCGAAGGCGGCCAUCUGGGACAACACUGACGCUGAGGCACGAAAGCGUGGGGAGCAAACAGGAUUAGAUACCCCAGUAGUCCCUGUCUCUUAUAC
Molecule: ribosomal RNA, 301 nt
Filed under: uncultured bacterium
Lineage: Bacteria
Description: partial 16S ribosomal RNA
Rfam family: Bacterial small subunit ribosomal RNA
Source: RNAcentral